This 227-nucleotide unclassified non-coding RNA is filed under the name Hevea brasiliensis (rubber tree). The record is from RNAcentral. Lineage: Eukaryota; Viridiplantae; Streptophyta; Magnoliopsida; Malpighiales; Euphorbiaceae.
GUUAAAUUUAAUAAUUGAUUCUAACUAAUUGACCGCUAAAAGUUUAUGUGAAAUUAUUAAAAAGAAAAAAUGAGGUAGAAUUGUAAAAAUGAGUAAAGAUUGAAAUUUUUUUGACAAUUUGCCCAAUAUAAAAUCUGGACAGAGAACUUCUGAAAUAUUUAUUAUUGUCACCAUGUUAUAAUAGGUACACUUUUACCAUUAGUCAAGUGUGGACAACAUAAAAUUUU